RNAcentral lists this ribosomal RNA (497 nucleotides) under uncultured bacterium. RNAcentral's name for it is "partial 16S ribosomal RNA". It matches the Rfam family "Bacterial small subunit ribosomal RNA", at positions 899 to 1397 of the family's 1533-position model. The record is from RNAcentral.
ACUCAAAUGAAUUGACGGGGGCCCGCACAAGCAGCGGAGCAUGUGGCUUAAUUCGACGCAACGCGAAGAACCUUACCAAGGCUUGACAUAUGCCGGACGGCUGUAGAGAUAUGGCUUCCCUUGUGGUCGGUGUACAGGUGGUGCAUGGUUGUCGUCAGCUCGUGUCGUGAGAUGUUGGGUUAAGUCCCGCAACGAGCGCAACCCUUGUUCUGUGUUGCCAGCGAGUAGUGUCGGGGACUCACAGGAGACUGCCGGGGUCAACUCGGAGGAAGGUGGGGACGACGUCAAAUCAUCAUGCCCCUUAUGUCUUGGGCUGCACACGUGCUACAAUGGUCGGUACAAUGGGCUGCGAGACCGUGAGGUGGAGCGAAUCCCUAAAAGCCGGCCUCAGUUCGGAUUGGGGUCUGCAACUCGACCCCAUGAAGUCGGAGUUGCUAGUAAUCGCAGAUCAGCAUGCUGCGGUGAAUACGUUCCCGGGCCUUGCACACACCGCCCGU